CUCGCUCGCUCUCAUAUUCCGCAUUAAGAAUCACAUUUCAUUGAAGGAGGAGAAUCAAGGCUUCAUUUCUUCCUCUUCCUCCUCUCAAAACACGGUCUUAUUUCCCAUCCAGUGCCCCUCUCUCAUUCUUUUCUUCACUUCUGAUCUCCCCCCCCCCUUUUUUCCCACUGCAUUUUGCUCUGAUGCAUCUUUUUAUCCAUUUCUCCCCUCUUUUGCUUCACUCAUCCUCCUGUCCCAUUCUUUCCCCUUCCCAAAGUAAGCUUCUCUUCCCUUUGGGUCAACUCUCUCCUUCUCUUACCACUCAGACUUUGUAGACACUGCAGUCUUUCGUUCUUACUUGUUAUUAGUGUUUACUCUGUUGUUUUGAAGGAACUUUUUGCUCACGGAAAAGUUUGCUGUUGCUCUUUUCUAUCAGAUCUUAUAUUUACAUUGAGUUUUUGGUUUUUCAGAUUUUUGUUGUCAUUAUUUUUAACGAAAAUGUUCUCUUUUGUUUUUCAUUUUUGAUGAUCCUGGACUUGACAACACUCAGACGAUACAUGUGGGCGGAUUAAAGAACAAGACAGAGAGGUGGGAGGACCCCACCCACACAUGCUCACCUUGCUGGACGGACGCACAAACACCAUUUUGUCUACAGGUUCCUUGACUCUGGCUGACAUCAGCAGUCAUGUGGUAGCAGAGGAGCGACCAGGAUUUUAUGACAGAGGCCUACAUAGGUCGUUGGCUACUCCAGUGGAAGUACAAUGAUCAGCAAUGCUGCUGAUGCACUUAUUGACAGGAAACUCGGGGCCGAGUGCAUGCCAUCUCAUAAAAAUUACAACAAAGGCCAAAAGGCGUUUGCUUCUGGUGCUUGUAGCAUUUUCCUUUGACCACCAAAUGUUCUUGUAAGAGUAAAGUGUGGAUAGAACAAGGAUGAGUAAAGGAGAAAUGCAAGUUAUUUAAAGUGCAUUUAAAAUGAGUGCAGAUGAGAUUAUAUAACUGCUUAAUUUACUAUUUAAAAAUGCAAAAGGGCUUAUGCUUACGGCACAAAAAAAGCCAUUGAACUUGCAUGUGUUGAGACUGGAGGAAAACCACGUGAAUACACUACCAAGAUAAAGGCCAGGCUUGUCUCUGCUGUAAGGCUACAGUGCUAAACACACAGCCACUGCCUUUAUAACACAUAAAGCACUUCAUUUUUUAGUGAACCAUACAUCUUUCAAUAAUUUUGACAAACAAAAGUUGGGAGUUGUGUCAGCUGGCAGAGAGAGUGUGGUGGUAGAUCAUACAACAGAGAAAGGAGCUGUUUGAUGCCGAAAAGUGAGAAAAGUUUAAUAUGUGCAAAAACAGGCACUUUAUAGCAUGCAGAACCAAAACAGGCUUGGAUUCUGGAUAUUUUGGAUUGUGUUAUUUUUGGGGGGCUUUUAUGGCCUUUAAUUGACAGGAUAUAGCUUGAAGACAGGAAAGAGGAGAGAGAGGGGGUGACAUGCAGCAAAGGCUUCGAACCCGGGCCGCUGCCAAGGACUCAGCCUACAAGGGGCGCACACUCUACUGUGUGAGCUAGUCGUCGCCCCCUCUUUUGUGUUCUUGAAUAAAUGUUCCCUUCUUUUUUACUCUGUAUUAUCACUGACAGGUUAGGGUGCCUGUUUCCACUGAUGUCCAUGGAUUUUUUUUUCUUCAGAUUUUAUUCCUCCAGAAGCUACAUGUCUGGCUAAGGAGUCCAUAAGCAAGACAUGUUCAUGUCACUCUAUAAAUGAUCUCAUGAUAUGUAAAUAUGAAAGUAUUUUUAAAGCUGCUUUUUUCUCUGUAUGUGUAUUGUAUAGUCACACCUUAUGUGGUUCCCAACCAAUACCUAUACUGAGUGUGAGGUUUAGAGCUUUAUUCUGCACCCUCAGGAAACAAUGUAUAACUCUAGUCUGCACUAUAUCACUCCUUGUUCAUUUACAGCCCUUCAAAUCCCUGCAGGAGCGGUCAUACACAUGAUUUAUACAGGUGUUGUACUCCAUAAUUCUUAGAAAAUUCAAACUGGUAAAACAGCAGCCAGAGCCCUUCCAGCAGAGUCUGUAGGAGUUUUUUGUAUCCAGUAUUUAUAGAAUUUAGCAUCCAGUAUGUUAAAGGUAAUAUAAUAACAAGACUAAGACUCUACAGCCAUGCUAGCAGCUUUAUAAGUCUGUACUUAUGCACAGUGGUGCUAAAUGCUAAUAUCAGCAUGCUCACUGUGACAAUGCUGUGUUAGGCAGGUAACAUUUACUGUACCAGGAUCACGUUCUUAGUUUAGCAUGUUAGCACUUAACAUAUUGCACUGCCAUGUUUCUAUAGCCCAGAACGGAGAAACCAAACAUGCUCUCAUUGUCGAGAGGGCCUUUCAUGCUUUUACGUUACCUGAAGGCCACCGUAGUUUCUCCUACACACUUGGAAAGGGAGAGGUGAGGGGAGGAGUAUUCAGCCAGUUUCAAUCUGCAACCUCACAACUAGAUGCCACUAAAUCCACACACUGGUCAUUUAAUAAUUCGAAUUUACUAUCAAGGGGCCUUGAAUAUCGGUAGCAGGUUUCAUUGCAAUCCAUCCAAUAGUUGCUAAGAGGUUUCACUCUGAACCAAUAACGUCAACCUGCUGGUGGUGCUAGAGGCAAAGCUAGUUGUGUUAAUCCUCUGGGGAACCUCUGGAACAAAAUUGCCGGGCAAUCCAUCCCAUUGUUGAAAUACAGUAUUUCUGCCUGGAGCAAAGCGGUGGAACAACCGACCGACUGAGCGACAUUGCCAGCCAUACAGUAGAGUCGCUAGCAUGUAUCAGCUAAAAAUGAAAUUAACAUACAACAUUUGCAUUUUCAAAGGCAAGGGGCCUGCACCAGACCAGAGCAGAUGUAGCAAGAAGUCAUCUACAGAAAGUAGCUGACAGUGUUUCUUCAUCAACCUGCAUAAAUACUGAAUGCUCAACUUUGUUAGUCCUAAGCCAACACAGACACAUCCACAGUCAGUCUCUUGGCGGCAGCAUGGCGCAGCUCAUGCAUAAGGAAGUAGUGAGCAGCAGACCUGAGGAGACAUUGUGUGAAGAGAAGAUUUUCAAGUACUGAUGGAGGAAAAAGCAGAUCUGUGAGGAUGUCCUCAGUCUCUCGGUUCAAAAUUAUUACCAGUAAAUGUUAUCAUCAUUAUUGUAUGGGUAGACAUUAUGUUAUGCAAAUGAAAAAGGGUUGCAUGGAACAACAAACAGCGUCUACAAUAGACUGUCUUUGCAGUAUAUCUACCAUGUUUAAUAAAGUUGCACAGAUGGGAACUGUACUGUGGGGUAAACAGAAAGGAUUGCUGGCCUUGAGGAUGCAAAGACUAAUUGACAAUGAGAAACCGGUGGUUCAAUCCUUAUUGAUCUUGUCUAUCACUAAACUGAAAAACAGUGUCCACUAACUCUGUGCUUCCCGUGCUUAGAAAAAAAAAAAACUUCACAUGAUCUUCAGGUCUGUAACAUGUUUUUUUACGCUCACAGGAAGCUGGUUGCAAAUGUCGGGGAUACAAAAUAGAUUUUGGUACAAGACGGACAAAUCAAACUGCAGAGCUGCUAAUUGCUACGUGUUUAAAAAAAAAA
This is a long non-coding RNA of Sander lucioperca (pikeperch), 3552 nucleotides long. RefSeq lists it as uncharacterized. NCBI's taxonomy places the organism in Eukaryota, Metazoa, Chordata, Actinopteri, Perciformes, Percidae. The record is from RefSeq and is a predicted model, not a curated record. The transcript is spliced from 4 exons.